GAUGAACGCUGGCGGCGUGCCUAAUACAUGCAAGUAGAACGCUGAAGGAGGAGCUUGCUCUUCUGGAUGAGUUGCGAACGGGUGAGUAACGCGUAGGUAACCUGCCUGGUAGCGGGGGAUAACUAUUGGAAACGAUAGCUAAUACCGCAUGACAACAGUUAUUGCAUGAUAACUGUUUAAAAGGGGCAACUGCUCCACUACCAGAUGGACCUGCGUUGUAUUAGCUAGUUGGUGAGGUAACGGCUCACCAAGGCGACGAUACAUAGCCGACCUGAGAGGGUGAUCGGCCACACUGGGACUGGGACACGGCCCAGACUCCUACGGGAGGCAGCAGUAGGGAAUCUUCGGCAAUGGACGGAAGUCUGACCGAGCAACGCCGCGUGAGUGAAGAAGGUUUUCGGAUCGUAAAGCUCUGUUGUAAGAGAAGAACGAGUGUGAGAGUGGAAAGUUCACACUGUGACGGUAUCUGACCAGAAAGGGACGGCUAACUACGUG
RNAcentral lists this ribosomal RNA (495 nucleotides) under uncultured bacterium. RNAcentral describes it as "partial 16S ribosomal RNA". It matches the Rfam family "Bacterial small subunit ribosomal RNA", at positions 28 to 507 of the family's 1533-position model. The record is from RNAcentral.